GGAUUGUGGCUCAGCGGUAGAGCGCUCGCUUAGCAUGUGUGAGGCCCUGGGUUCGAUCCUCAGCACCA
This 68-nucleotide transfer RNA is filed under the name Marmota monax (woodchuck). RNAcentral's name for it is "tRNA.Ala". The stretch from base 5 to 65 matches the Rfam family "tRNA", at positions 6 to 65 of the family's 71-position model. Rfam says of the family: Transfer RNA (tRNA) molecules are approximately 80 nucleotides in length. Their secondary structure includes four short double-helical elements and three loops (D, anti-codon, and T loops). Further hydrogen bonds mediate the characteristic L-shaped molecular structure. tRNAs have two regions of fundamental functional importance: the anti-codon, which is responsible for specific mRNA codon recognition, and the 3' end, to which the tRNAs corresponding amino acid is attached (by aminoacyl-tRNA synthetases). tRNAs cope with the degeneracy of the genetic code in two manners: having more than one tRNA (with a specific anti-codon) for a particular amino acid; and 'wobble' base-pairing, i.e. permitting non-standard base-pairing at the 3rd anti-codon position. Lineage: Eukaryota; Metazoa; Chordata; Mammalia; Rodentia; Sciuridae. The record is from RNAcentral.